Molecule: ribosomal RNA, 1428 nt
Filed under: Lactiplantibacillus plantarum
Lineage: Bacteria; Bacillati; Bacillota; Bacilli; Lactobacillales; Lactobacillaceae
Description: bacterial SSU rRNA
Rfam family: Bacterial small subunit ribosomal RNA
Source: RNAcentral
UCAGGACGAACGCUGGGCGGCGUGCCUAAUACAUGCAAGUCGAACGAACUCUGGUAUUGAUUGGUGCUUGCAUCAUGAUUUACAUUUGAGUGAGUGGCGAACUGGUGAGUAACACGUGGGAAACCUGCCCAGAAGCGGGGGAUAACACCUGGAAACAGAUGCUAAUACCGCAUAACAACUUGGACCGCAUGGUCCGAGCUUGAAAGAUGGCUUCGGCUAUCACUUUUGGAUGGUCCCGCGGCGUAUUAGCUAGAUGGUGGGGUAACGGCUCACCAUGGCAAUGAUACGUAGCCGACCUGAGAGGGUAAUCGGCCACAUUGGGACUGAGACACGGCCCAAACUCCUACGGGAGGCAGCAGUAGGGAAUCUUCCACAAUGGACGAAAGUCUGAUGGAGCAACGCCGCGUGAGUGAAGAAGGGUUUCGGCUCGUAAAACUCUGUUGUUAAAGAAGAACAUAUCUGAGAGUAACUGUUCAGGUAUUGACGGUAUUUAACCAGAAAGCCACGGCUAACUACGUGCCAGCAGCCGCGGUAAUACGUAGGUGGCAAGCGUUGUCCGGAUUUAUUGGGCGUAAAGCGAGCGCAGGCGGUUUUUUAAGUCUGAUGUGAAAGCCUUCGGCUCAACCGAAGAAGUGCAUCGGGAAACUGGGAAAGCUGAGUGCAGAAGAGGACAGUGGAACUCCCAUGUGUAGCGGUGAAAUGCGUAGAUAUAUGGAAGAACACCAGUGGCGAAGGCGGCUGUCUGGUCUGUAACUGACGCUGAGGCUCGAAAGUAUGGGUAGCAAACAGGAUUAGAUACCCUGGUAGUCCAUACCGUAAACGAUGAAUGCUAAGUGUUGGAGGGUUUCCGCCCUUCAGUGCUGCAGCUAACGCAUUAAGCAUUCCGCCUGGGGAGUACGGCCGCAAGGCUGAAACUCAAAGGAAUUGACGGGGGCCCGCACAAGCGGUGGAGCAUGUGGUUUAAUUCGAAGCUACGCGAAGAACCUUACCAGGUCUUGACAUACUAUGCAAAUCUAAGAGAUUAGACGUUCCCUUCGGGGACAUGGAUACAGGUGGUGCAUGGUUGUCGUCAGCUCGUGUCGUGAGAUGUUGGGUUAAGUCCCGCAACGAGCGCAACCCUUAUUAUCAGUUGCCAGCAUUAAGUUGGGCACUCUGGUGAGACUGCCGGUGACAAACCGGAGGAAGGUGGGGAUGACGUCAAAUCAUCAUGCCCCUUAUGACCUGGGCUACACACGUGCUACAAUGGAUGGUACAACGAGUUGCGAACUCGCGAGAGUAAGCUAAUCUCUUAAAGCCAUUCUCAGUUCGGAUUGUAGGCUGCAACUCGCCUACAUGAAGUCGGAAUCGCUAGUAAUCGCGGAUCAGCAUGCCGCGGUGAAUACGUUCCCGGGCCUUGUACCCCCCCCCCUUCACCCCAUGAGAGUUUGU